AAAGGUUUUUAAAAUACCAGAAAAGCAGUGCAGCAGAUAGCUGGAUGGAGGGGCUGAGAGCAGUGGAGGUGAGAUAAUCAGCCAACUGUACAAACCAGAAAGCCAGGAAUGGUUUCCAUUAGAGGCCAUCUGGAUGUAAAUGACUUCAUGUGCAGCUCUGCAUUGAAUGGCACAGCGUCACCAGGGAAAAGCACUAAAACCACAUCCUGUCACAGACAGUCACAGAUCGGAAAUCCUGAGGGUAACAGCUCACCCUAUCAAGUGCCCUGCAGAGCCACUUGGGGUAAAUCAGAUGAAGGACAGAGGAUGGAGGCAUUCUGCACUCGAGUUAAAAUCAAGCCAAGAAAUGAAUCUCUUGUUAGGAAUUUUGCCUGGUGAAUCAUGUUGAACUGAGAGCUGUCUGUGGUGAGCACAGGCAAUAUCCAAUCACUAGCUGUACUUCGCCUCCUCACAGUUACACCCUGCUGUGUGAGGAAAGUGUCUCUCUUCCUCAGAAAACAAGAUCCAAGGUGCAAAACCCAUCAACUGGGGCGUCAUGGAAUAUCUUGGAAAAUUUUAGAGCUAGUAAUUUCCUUCUGCCAGGAAUAAUUUGGUUUAGUCUUUCUUUUUCUAAAUGUCCACAUCAGCAGUGGAAUAGCAAAACAUGAAUUGGACUGCCUAUGGACCGUGAUUUACUGUCACUCUUUCCGACCAGGCUUAGACUACAGGCAGGUACUAACCCAGAAGGCAGAAGUCUGGAGGCCUGAAAGAAUUACAGGACAAAAUACUGGCCCCUCACAGGAACUGAGCAAGACUUGAGUGUCGGAAGUCCAGACAUGUAUUACAUUUAUUCAUUAAACAAUGAUGUACUGAGUGGCUAUGUUGAACCAUUUGCUUCAUCACACAACUGGGACACAUUGGUGGUGGAAUGCACAAGAAUCCUUGUGAAAUGAAGUCUGCACAUUCUAAAAGCAGG
This 955-nucleotide long non-coding RNA is filed under the name Heterocephalus glaber (naked mole-rat). RNAcentral's name for it is "lncRNA (ENSHGLG00100043895.1)". Lineage: Eukaryota; Metazoa; Chordata; Mammalia; Rodentia; Bathyergidae. The record is from RNAcentral.